AUUCAAGAGUCCAUGACCAAAAAAAGAGGUGAAAAAAAAGAGUCCAUGACCUGUUUGCAUAACUGUUCUGUUUCUAAAAUAUUUGAACAGGAGCAAGAACAUUGGUUAGUGACAGGUUAGUCAGAAAUUUCUUCUCAAGAAAGAAGCCAAUAUGAAUACUUGCAUAGAUUAUAAGUAUUUUACUGUUAUAAUUUUAAGAAAUUAUUAUAAGAAUGGUGGUAAAUGUAUUCACAUGCAUAUAAUUUCUUAAAUAGCUUGGUAGUACACCUAACGAACUCUACUGACAGAAGCCCUGGGAAGCAGAUAGACAAGAGCCUCCUCCUACACAUGUCCCUAGGGAAAUAGAACACUAGCAAUUGAGUUGUUAGACUCAUAGUUGACAGACUAACCUGAGAUAUUAUCUGCUAAGGCAGUCAGUUGGUUCAUCUUACUUGUCGCACAGGCCUUUCAUAAGCCUGAGAAGUAGUUGAAUAGCUUGUUAUCAGAAUCUAGUCCACAAAGGCUCUAAAAAGUAGAUGAGUACAUGCAUCUAUAUUCCCUCCUUUUAAGGGAACACUAUGACCACCAUUUCUGAGGUCAUCAAUGUCUGUAAGAUUGCACAUGCAGAUUCUGGAAACUAACAUGUGACUUUAGUUAUUGGAUGACCUAGGAUCAGAAGAAAAACAGAAAAUAUGCUAAUUAGAGAUCUUAAAUAUAGAUAAAAAUCUGUAAUCAAGUGAUCAAAGAGUCAAGUUUGGGGUCAACCUGGUGUACAAGAGUGACUUUCAGGACUGGCUUCAAAGCUACAGAGAAACCCGGUCAUAAUAAAUCAACAACAGUGUCCUGUAUUGUUGUAUUAUAAACAGUGUGAACUUUUUGUGAUGGGCAAUAUGUCAUUGAUCAUUAAUGUUUCUUUGUGGUUUUUGAAAAAAAUCCUGCUUUAAAAGAAAACAGUUAUAAAAUUCAAUGUGUAAAAGAGAAGGUAAGUACACAAUUCUCCCUAUAAUAGGCAAUUAUUUUUACAAUGAACAUCUUGUUCCUGGAAUACAAAAAUACAACACCAGCUCACACUUUAUUCUCUUGCAAGCAAAAAAUAUACAAAAAUUGGUUUUAUUUUUGACUUUUCUGAAACGAAACAGUUGGCUUCCUAUCACUUUUUAGCUUGUUACUCAUGCUACAGUUUCCCAGAGUCUUACCCAGAAGGUCCUUUUGGGGGACCCUGGUAUUGGGACCUAAAGUAUCUGGUUUCAUAUCCUUAAAUCUCCAAAACACCUGUUAGAGGUUAGACAAUAAUUUGUAUCAGAUUUCAAAACUUAAAAUCUAGUAUUGUACAAAUUAGACAGUGCAUAGCUAAAUGCCAUUUGAUUCCCCAGUGUGGAAACCAGGUAAAGAGACAUUAGACCAUAAGAACUAUCAAAACAUAAGGCAGAGUAUGGCAACACCACCUAUGACUUUUUUAUAUUUAAUCAGGUCGAAUGUCAUUGUGAUUAAUUAUGUGCAGUUAUGUGCAUACAUGAGAGAGUUAAUGAAACAUGAAUAUAUUAAAGAAAAGUUUAUAUGUUCAUAAGUCAUCUGCAUGUGUAUUUAAUAUAAUACUUCUAAUUUUCCAUUCUUAAUUUCAUGCCAAUUUAAAAUAACCACAUAUCUAGGUUAAUAUGAUAUAAUUCUUGGUUUAUGUAUGUGCAGUAGUCCUGUUGACUGCAAGAUGCAGGAAUCUCAGUUACUUCUCUAGCAUGUUUGACUGCAUGCCAACUUGUCACACCGUUAUGUUGAUGAACUGAACCACACUCAACUGAAAAUGAGUGUUUUUCUUUAUAAGAGUUGCCGUGGUCACAGUGUCUCCUCACAACAAUAGAAAUAACAAUAGGUUAAGACGGAUUCUGAACCCAUUUUUAGGAGUUAUUAGCUUAUCACAUUAAAGAUUUGCCUUUGAAAAUCCACUCAGCUUCAUAUUCUCACUUGAGUUCCUGUUCAAUAUCAUCAUCUUGGAACUCUACCUAGGAAGGUUCCUGUGAAGUAUUUAGCUAACUAUAUCAGCAGCUUCAUUCAAUCUUACAAUAAGCCAAUGUGCUCUGCCACCUCCAGACUGCCAUAGGAAGUAAAACUUUGUAACCCAAUUGGCUCAAACUGUAGCGAUCCUUCAGGAAAAAAAAAAUGAGUAUGACUUUUUAUUCCACUGGUAUCAAUUUUAAGUUUCUGCAUACUUAUAUGCAGACUGAUGAAGAAAUACGAUAGCCUCAACAGCAAUAAAAUUGUCAGGAAUCCUGGUAUGAGGGUCUUUUCUUAAAGAAGUCCAAAGGAGCAGAAAGUAGUCCCAUCCACCCUUUAUUUUUCCUAGGCUGCUGCCACAAAUGCGAGCCUGAUUGUUUUGACCUCUGUUGAAACUCUUACAUUCCUAUGAAGCACUCAGCUAGUUUUACUCAUUUGGACUCCAAAGAGGUUGAAUAGUUCAUAAUCAGAAACACUACCUAAUAACAUGAGAAAUAAAGUGUUAGUGUCCAUAAAUUCACAUCUCCAGGAAGCAGAAGGACUAGUCACUGAUGAGAAUGUAUCCACCUUCAAAAAACUGUUACCGACCUUGGAUUCUGACUGGAAGCACUCUGGGCCCAAAGGUGUGACUUCGCUCAUGGGCAAUAAACCAUCACCCUAUAUUGCUAGCUGACAAUAUACAAGGCCCAUCAUGUGUUAUCAGUACAAAGCUCCAAUCAAUACUUAUUCAGGCAGAUAAUAAAUGUUUAAGACUGUGGGGGCUGAGAAAUGCAGAACCAUUUCCUACAUUGUCUGGCAGUCAGAGAAUCUGAGAAACUAACUGGCACAAUCUGCACCUCCAGACACAGGAUGUUGUCGCCUGGCCUCUUUUGAAGUUGGGUAGCUCUGUGGUCAGGAUAUGCUAAUACGAUUCUGCUCCUUCCAUUUUAACUAUGAGGACACCCGGGAAAGAGGUUUUAUUCUGCCUCUUUACCAAGUGGACUUGAGUAAAACAUGACUUAAGUCACCUAGCUACCUAGGCAACAGAUUGUUAACGAAGUAAUACCUGCUCCCCUGCUUUACCUUCAUAUAAAAGCUGUUGGGAAAAUAAACGCGGGUGAUUUCCGGAUCUGAAUAAUCACUGAAAUUCCCUCCUGGUGCUGUCAUGUGAUUUUUGUCUUCCUUUUUCCCACACGUCUACCCUGGAAAGAAGUGGUUUUUGUUAGGGUGGUCCCCAACAUAAAACCAAGCUAACAAGGUGUAACUUGCAUUAGAAUGCUUAUUUGUUUUCAUCCUACAAAUUUUAUUUGUGAAAUUUGAGAGAAAAUGCUAUAAAAUUUUUCGUUGGCAGUUUAUUUUUGACACACUGCUCCUUGUUUGGGUUACGGAGACCUACGGAUGCUCUUUGAGAAUGUAGUGAAUUUAUGAUAGAAGACAUGUGUGACUUAACAGGAGAAAACAGACUUCCAAAGAUGGGCCUAUAUAAGGCUCAUCUUCCUGCUUUUUUCCCUUGACCAUUGGCCCUCUCAACCUUUCACUUGUCAUUAGGUUUUAAUGAGGGGUAAUUGUGAUGCCUUCGUGUGGCAAUUUUCUCUGAGAUAAAAUCUUUCAUCUUUUAGGGGAGUUCCUUAAGAUCAAGAAUAACUUGAGAGAGAAUAAACAUUCCACCCUACAGGAAAGCUCUCUAGACUCAGGAUGUUCUGAGGGAUACUGAAACAUCCUAUCCUGUAAGACAGCUUCUUGAGUCUAGAAAGUUAACAACUCAAAAAAUUUCAGGAACUCUCUGAGACCAAAUAGAUUCACUUGACCCUCUAUAACAUCUUAUAAGCAGUAACAAUUGUUAUGAUAUCCUCUCUUACAAGAUGAAUAACCUGAAGAAGGAAGAGACAAUCCAAGCUGUCUGGAAGAGUUUCAGGACAACUGAGCAGCUUUGUAGAGACAUUUUCUAACCUGUCAAACUGACUUCAAUUUGUGCAGUGAGCUCUAGUUUUCAAGAUUACAUGAGACUGAUGAUAGGGACUUUAACUUGUAGUUGAAACAGAACAACCACAAAAUUGUUCUAGCAUAGUAAAAUCUUGACAAAAGUAUUAAAAUAGCUACAUAGGAGACAUAUUAAUAUAUGGAUACAUUAACAUAUCUAAUAUGGCCUAUUAGAAAAUGCCACAAAGGAUCGACUGCUCAAAAGAUUAUACCUGAUAUCAAAGAUAUGUGAUAAUAAAGAGUUACAGGAUGAGACUAGAAUACACAAACAGAUAUAAAAUAUUCUUUCAUUUAAGUUAAAUUUCAUUUAAGAGUGGCAAAUAAAUUACUCAUUUAAAACAAGGAGUUAUUUUAAAUUUUAUUAGAAUUCAGAGACAUGUUCUCAAGCUCAUCCCUAUAGCAACUGAGAAAAUAAUAGAGUUAUUUAAGUUGUUCUUCAAUAAAAUUAUUUUCACGUUUGGACUAGCUCUUGUGAUCUAGCUGCUCCCACUCCCCCUGUCAGACAACAGAACUUCCUUGUAGUCUAUAAUUGACAAGGAUGUUGAUGUUUCUGGCCAGUAGUUUUCUACAGAAGCAGUAGAGGUAUAAAAGGCUUUAGCUGAGUCAAAAUAAAGCUUGCUGUUCUACCACCUGAAAAGAAGCCUUCUUGUCUCAAUCCCAGCACCCCCUCCAUUCUCGGCAUCCAGGCUGUGCUUGUGGCGGGGCAACUAGCAAACUCUAUUCAAACUGAUAAUGCACCUCGUCUUCCUUUUCUUCCCCCUUCUCCUCUCCUGUACCUCUCCCUUUGAGACAGUAUCCCAUGUACCCCAUCCGAGCUAACCUUAUAAACCUUAUAAACUUUAAGUGUAAGCAUUUGUCUUCCCUUGAUGAAACUGAAUCAUCUUAUUGAGGACCCUGCUGGGCUCUGAGGUCUAUCGGCCAUUGUUAAUAAAGUUUUUUGCCUGAAGGAUGGUUCAACUUUGAAACUUCUCUCCAACCCAUCUUCUCCAGUUCCUCCAGCUAUGUAGACAUCCGACUUUAAAAUUCUGUUUUUCUUGACUAUAUCAACUAUGUACUGGGCUAAUUUGAAAAGGAAACUACUUUCAGUUCUAUUUUUUGGUUCUAAUGUCACAAAGUGGUGAAUGAAGCGUUGCAAAUAACUUGGAAUAUGCUGUAUAGUAGAAAUUUUACUUGAUAUGAAAAGUGAAAAAGAUGAACUAUGUCCUUUUUUUUGGAGGCAAGUGUUUCCUGUGUAUCUUUGGAGUCUGGCCUGGAACUUGUUCUGUAGACCAAGCUGGCCAUGAAUGCACAGAGAUCUGAUUACCUCUGCCUCCCGAUUGCUGACAUUUAUGCCAUGCACGACCACUGCCCUGCAUUAAAAGGAAUUCUUAAUAUUGUUGAGAGACCCUAUUGCAGUCAGUUAAAGUUUAAAUUGUUUCUUUACUCUGAAUUAGAGUGUCAUUUUAAACGGACAUGUGAGGGUACAUAAUCACAUGAAGACCUAAACCAAGAAGGUUUAAAACAGGACAGUGAUCCACAUUGUUCUCCUCAUUGCUCAGAUCCAAGACAACCUGCAUUGCAGAUUAAAAUAAAAUAGCCAAAUCCAUUGGUUGAAGGAGUUUCCAUAGAAGCCUCAUUAUAUUUAUGUCUUAUAGGCCUCAUUAUAACCAUGCACUACCCAAAGAGCAAGCUGUGCCACGUAGCCUCUGUUAAGUGUCCCUCUCCUCUGACUCUUCCAUACUGCACAGGUCACAUAUUAAUAAAUCUAUUAGCACAAAAACUCCUUCUCAUAAACAUUGAGGAGUAGAUACAUCCCUUUGCCUGGUGGGACUGAAUCAUCUCACUGAAGAGCCCCAAUUGUUUUCUGAUACUCAACUGUCUGCCAGUUUUAAAGCUCUUGCUGAAGAUUAUUCAACUUUGGACCUUCUCUUGAUUCCCUGUUUUCCCAAUCCCUCCAUAAUAAUCUUCAAGACCUAAUUGAGCUUCUUGAAAUAGUGUAUAAGAGAACCCAUCUAUCCUGUGUGGCAGCUUGUAUCAACCCUUUAGGUCAGAAAAUGAAGCUAGGAUUAUGCAGCACAUACAGAAAUUGGGUCAGAUAAUAAACAAUUGACAUUAGUAUUAUUUGUUUGAUAUAUAUUGUAUACCUUAAUUUGUGAAUAUAUUUUGUAAGCUGACAGUCUACAAAAGAUCUUACUACAAAGGAAUGAAGCCCAUUUUUUUUUUAGCAUAUAUCAUGUUCUACAGAGAAGAAAAAUUUUACCCUUCCUCAUAUUCUAUUUCUCAUAGCCAACAUUGACCGAUUUCUGGACUCAAUGUUUAGAUGUAUGGACAAAUGUUGCUCUCAGCCUUAAUCAGAGAAGGCCCUCUUUGCAAUGAACAACUGUAAAUGAAGCAUGUCUGCUCAAUAUGCUGAGAAUAAGUGGCACCUGAAUGUUCAGCUCAAGACAGUGGAUUUAUCCAACCAUUUCUGUGGCUGAAGUAAUAUCAUAGAAGAGAAAAUCCAAAUUCUGUGACCAUAUACAUAGGGAGGAAGGCUAUAAAAUUGCCUCUGGCCCUAACUCAGCCUAUGUAGUCAUUACCUCUCAGCAGCUGCAACUGUCUGCAGUAAGCUAGUGCAACAUUUAUCUGGCGAACAGAAAGAAAAAAAAUGACUUUUAACAAACAACAAAGCCAAAGCAACAGUAUUCCUACCUCAAUUAUCCUAAUCUAGAAAGUGUUUGGAAGCUUGACUACUAAGCUAUUUUAGAUCCUAUCAAAUAACAUCAAUAUUUUCUAUUGUAUGUGAAUCUUUUUCCCACUACCUUGAAACUCUAGCAUGUCAUUUCCAAGAAAAGAGUUUACUCUUUGAUGCCAUUGGUUCAUAAACUAAAAUGCAUUCCUUCAGACUUUGAAAAUUUGCCACAGUUAACAGUCAUACCAUGUUUAAAAGACCAAAGUUCAAAAUGUCUUAUGAUACUAAAAGUGAUCAUGUUUUCUGUAUGCUUGUAUAAAAUCAAAGCCAGGUUACAAAAUUCUGUCAAUCAAUGCCUCAUGAUAAAUACUUCCAAUUCAAAGCAUAGAACUUGGAGUACAGCAUGAAAUAAUUGGGCCUGAGCGGGAUUUCCACUUAGCAAGGAAAACACUAACUUCUGUAGUACCAUGUCUUGCAAUUUGGCUUGUGGUAUAGUCAUAUGGGCUUCAAAGAGAUUGGGUAGUCUCUUCACUUUUAUUUGGUCAUCUGCAACAUAUAAACCAUCUGCAACAUCACUGCUACCUUCUAAUUUUAAAAUUUUGAAAUUAAAAUGUUUUCCUCUUUUUCUUCCCUCAACUUCUUCUCUGUACCCUUUCCUUGCUCUCUCUCUCUCUCUCUCUCUCUCUCUCUCUCUCUCUCUCUCACACACACACACACACACACACACAUACACAUACACACAUGCAAGCAGAAACAUGCACACAAUACACAAAAAGAAACAAAGACAUUAUAUAUAUAUAUGUAUAUAUUUACCUAAAUAUAUAAAUACAACCUGCUAAUUCCAUAUAAUGUUUGUUGUAUGUAUUUUAUUUCAGUCCAUCCCACCUGGAAUUUGAUAAACAAUAUGGGGACUGUUCCUUAGGAAAGACUAUUUCUCCUACUCUGAGUAUUUCUUAGUUGUCUCCAGUUCUUUGUCUAGGAUUAGGACCAUAUUCACUUUCUCCCUUUGGUGUUAGUAUGUCUAUUAGUCUAUUUCUUAUUCAGGUUAUGUUUAGGCAGCCAUGUUGAUGAGACUUCAUGCAUGUGACUUCAUUGACAUUUCUGGAAGAGAGAAUCUCGCACAAGACUUUCUGUUUCUCUGACUCUUAAAAUUUUUCUACCCCUUUCUAUGUUGUUCCAUGGCCUUAAUAAUAGGUGUUGUGCCUUACUAGACCUGGAUGGAGGAUGGAGGUGAGCAUCCAAACUGCCUAGGCUCCCACACAGAGACCCACAUUGGAGCACCGGACUGAAACCUCAAGGUUCAAAUCAGGAGAAGAAGGAGAGAGAGCACGAGAAAGGAACUCAGGACCGCGAGGGGUGCACCCACACACUGAGACAAUGGGGAUGUUCUAUCGGGAACUCACCAAGGCCAGCUGGCCUGGAUCUGAAGAAGCCUGGAAUAAAACCGCUGAAUAUAGCGGACAAUGAGGACUCCUGAGAAGUCAAGAACAAUGGCAAUGGGUUCUUUGUACUAUACUCUUCACAUGUAGAUAUUACCAGUGAAUGCUCCAUGGUCCUGGCAUCUCCAAUAGCCUGGUAUCUGCAUUCCAACUAAGGCUUCACCUUAAUAACUUUAUGCAAUAGCCUCUCAUGGCAUCCUAGCAUAGGUUCAUAUGCUACUACUGAUAUCCUUUCUAAGGCUUCUAAGUUCAGAAAAGACUUCAUGUCCACAGUCCCGCCUCUCUUCACAGAGAACAAACUGCUCCCACUUCCCUUUCUCUCUCACCUCUCCACCACAUAUUUGCUCAUCAUAAUGCUGCAUGCCCUGAAUAAUGGCGAGGGCACUCCUUAGUUUUUAAAUUUUCAUUUUUGUUUGUUUUUGUUUGAUAAAGAAGAGGGUUUAUUUCAUGCCAUAGCUCCCUGUCCAUUGCUGAGGAAAUAUAGGCCAGGGGUUCAAGGAAAAACUCAGGAUGCAGGACUGAAACAGAUACUAUAGAGGAAAUAUGCUUACUAGGUUGUUCCUUAUCAUUUGCUCAGCUUUUUUUCUUUUCAUUAUGUCUUUUAUUUUGUGAGAUUAUAACAUAAUUGCAUUAUUUCUCCCUUCUCCUCUAAUGAAUACAUGCCUUGAUAGAGUGAUCAGUGAAUGUUCAGAAGACCGUUCAUAAACUAGAACGAUGCUGAAAUGGAGUUCAUGUGCCUUCUCUACUCUCUCUUCGUUUUCUUUCCUGUCUUUACAAACUUUCGAUAAAUGAAUACGAAGGAUUUUAUGGAAAGGAAAGCUAUGGCUGCCACACAGG
Molecule: long non-coding RNA, 8853 nt
Organism: Alexandromys fortis (reed vole)
Lineage: Eukaryota; Metazoa; Chordata; Mammalia; Rodentia; Cricetidae
Exons: 2
Source: RefSeq, a predicted model, not a curated record